This 77-nucleotide transfer RNA is filed under the name Candidatus Handelsmanbacteria bacterium. RNAcentral's name for it is "tRNA-Arg". It matches the Rfam family "tRNA". Rfam says of the family: Transfer RNA (tRNA) molecules are approximately 80 nucleotides in length. Their secondary structure includes four short double-helical elements and three loops (D, anti-codon, and T loops). The record is from RNAcentral. Lineage: Bacteria; Candidatus Handelsmaniibacteriota.
GCACCUAUAGCUCAAUUGGAUAGAGCACCUGACUACGGAUCAGGAGGUUUGGGGUUCGAGUCCCUAUGGGUGCACCA